RNAcentral lists this ribosomal RNA (484 nucleotides) under uncultured bacterium. RNAcentral describes it as "partial 16S ribosomal RNA". It matches the Rfam family "Bacterial small subunit ribosomal RNA", at positions 28 to 523 of the family's 1533-position model. The record is from RNAcentral.
GACGAACGCUGGCGGCGUGCUUAACACAUGCAAGUCGAACGAUGAACCCGGAGCUUGCUCCGGCGGAUUAGUGGCGAACGGGUGAGUAACACGUGAGUAACCUGCCCUUGACUCUGGGAUAACUGCUAGAAAUGGUAGCUAAUACCGGAUACGACCCUCGGUGGCAUCACCAGGGGGUGGAAGGAAUUUCGGUCAAGGAUGGACUCGCGGCCUAUCAGCUAGUUGGUGAGGUAACGGCUCACCAAGGCGACGACGGGUAGCCGGCCUGAGAGGGUGACCGGCCACACUGGGACUGAGACACGGGCCAGACUCCUACGGGAGGGAGCAGUGGGGAAUAUUGCACAAUGGGCGCAAGCCUGAUGCAGCAACGCCGCGUGAGGGAUGACAGCCUUCGGGUUGUAAACCUCUUUUAGUAGGGAAGAAGCGAAAGUGACGGUACCUGCAGAAAAAGCACCGGCUAACUACGUGCCAGCCGCCGCGGUAA